GAGAGAGAGAGAGAGAGAGAGAGAAAAAGACCAAUUGAAGAUAAAUAGGCUGGAGGUUUUGGGACAGGAUAUGGAGUUCACAUGAAUGAUCAUUAGCAGGAUCUCUGCAGACCAGAGCAGCACUGUUUAGUGGCUGAAAGUCGCCCAGCUGCUCACCCGUGAUGUCUUGAUAUUACGGUCCAAAAUGACACCGAUAUCCUCCACAAACUCAACUUCUGGACAUGGACUGGUCAUGUCAUCGAAACUGUAUAAUGUCUAUUACCCAACAUGGAGUUUCUUAAAGAUGCACCAACACAGAGUAGCCUUGUCUGUUUCCUACUCUGACAUCUGGAUUACAGGACCACACAGAGGGAUGACAUGUUGGAGGCACAUCCAGGCUGGGUGGCCCGGCUGCAGGAAAGAUGUGGGUGACAGGAUCAGCCUUCAACAGACUAUGGAAGUAAUGCGUGUAGACAGUGUAAAACCAGUCUUUUGGAGACCUGUAGAAAGAGCAACGCUGGCAAUUCUGAAUAAAAAAAGAAGAAGAAAAAGUUCUUUGGGAGCCUUGUUUUAGCUGCAGCCUCAUGCACUGGACUCUCAUGCACUACUAAUGUGUUUAAAAAUCCUAAGCAAAAGAAGUAAAGAAUCUAACUUUCCAUUCCCACUAGUUUAUUAAAAGAAUCUUUCAGUGAAAUGCAGCUUGUACAGAUUUCAGAGAUAAAAAAAACAUAAAGGAAAUUUAAUUAUGGCUUUUCUUUGAAAUUACUUUCAAUUACUUGAGCCUUGAUAAAGAUAUUACCCCACUAGUAUUGUUAAACACUCAACAGCUGUUGAAAGAAUGAAGCAUUACGUUUUCAGGAAGGUACAUCAUUUAUAAAUGUACCUUUCCAGCAUCCAUAACUUCUAUGUCCUAUGUCUAUGACUUUUUAAACAAAGUUUAAAAAAAGUUGCUAAAUGAAUAUCGAGACAAACUGUGGAAGAUAAAACAUUUCAGAAAGUUCAUGUGUAGCUUUCUUAAAAAUAAUCUAUUCGCAUUUGUAUCCAAUAUAUUUGCAUUUAAAAGGUUCAUAUACCUGUGACAUGUAGCUAUAAAGCAUUUUCUGACUCACUGGUAGGCUCAUCAACAUUGAACCACUUCUGUGUAGUUCAAGGAGGCCUGAGAACUCCUCGACCCGAGGUGUUUCCUACCAGUCAUUAAAACACUUUGGUUCCUGCAGAAAAUGGAGAAGAUUACCCCCCGUCCCCCUUUCCUGAUAAUCACCUUGUAGCAUUUAGCACAUACUUAACAAAACAAAUGGCCUCUGUGUGAGAGCAAGAGAGAGAGAGAGACAGAAAUCCACUGAUGCUGGACUUUGUCAAGCCUGAGAGGCUGCAGAAAAAAUAGAUCAGAAGUGUCAUCACUAACAGGCCCCUGGAUCCCAGCGGACCAACAGCUUCUACAUUCUUGUUGGAAUGAGGAAUGGUGCAACCGCUGAUUGUUUAUUUUGUUUCUCUAUCUUGUCUUAGCAACCUCUUUUUAAUGAGAAUGUGCAGUUGUGCAUUAAGCGCUGGUCUCCCUCCUUUUCUUGUUAGCUGCUUUUGUGGCUAUGAGAGAAAGAUAAACAGAAAAGACUCUUUG
Long non-coding RNA from Micropterus salmoides (largemouth bass), 1597 nucleotides. RefSeq lists it as uncharacterized. The record is from RefSeq and is a predicted model, not a curated record. NCBI's taxonomy places the organism in Eukaryota, Metazoa, Chordata, Actinopteri, Centrarchiformes, Centrarchidae. The transcript is spliced from 3 exons.